UACGUAGGGUGCAGGCGUUAAUCGGAAUUACUGGGCGUAAAGCGUGCGCAGGCGGUUUGCUAAGACAGGUGUGAAAUCCCCGGGCUUAACCUGGGAACUGCGCUUGUAACUGGCAAGCUAGAGUGUGGCAGAGGGGGGUGGAAUUCCACGUGUAGCAGUGAAAUGCGUAGAGAUGUGGAGGAACACCGAUGGCGAAGGCAGCCCGCUGGGCUAACACUGACGCUCAUGCACGAAAGCGUGGGGAGCAAACAGG
This 253-nucleotide ribosomal RNA is filed under the name uncultured bacterium. RNAcentral describes it as "partial 16S ribosomal RNA". It matches the Rfam family "Bacterial small subunit ribosomal RNA", at positions 524 to 776 of the family's 1533-position model. The record is from RNAcentral.